RNAcentral lists this ribosomal RNA (467 nucleotides) under uncultured bacterium. RNAcentral describes it as "partial 16S ribosomal RNA". It matches the Rfam family "Bacterial small subunit ribosomal RNA", at positions 28 to 507 of the family's 1533-position model. The record is from RNAcentral.
GACGAACGCUGGCGGCGUGCUUAACACAUGCAAGUCGAACGGAAAGGCCCGUUUCGGGGGGUCCUCGGGUGGCGAACCGGUGAGUAACACAUGCGUAACCUGGCCUUGACUCUGGGAUACCUUCAGGAAACUGGGGCUAGUACCGGAUAGGAGCUCCUUCUGCCCGGAGGGGGUUGGAGAGUUUCGGCGGCUGGGGGUGGGGUUGCGGCCUAUCCGGGUGUUGGUGGGGUAGGGGCUUACCAAGGCUUUGGCGGGUAGCCGGCCCGGGAGGGUGACCGGGCACAGUGGGACUGGGAUAGGGCCCAGACUCCGACGGGAGGCAGAAGGGGGGAAUGUUGCACUAGGGGUGGGAGCCUGAUGCAGCACCGCCGAGGGCGGGAGGGCGGUGUUCGGGUUGUAAACCGAAUUCGCUCAUGACGGAGCUGUGAGUGACGGUAGUGGGUGAAGAAGCACCGGCUAACUACGUG